RNAcentral lists this transfer RNA (69 nucleotides) under Camelus bactrianus (Bactrian camel). It matches the Rfam family "tRNA". From Rfam's summary of the family: Transfer RNA (tRNA) molecules are approximately 80 nucleotides in length. RNAcentral also lists the same sequence under 2 other names. Lineage: Eukaryota; Metazoa; Chordata; Mammalia; Artiodactyla; Camelidae. The record is from Rfam by way of RNAcentral.
GGAGGGAGCUCAGUGGUAGAGCACGUGCUUAGCAUGCCUGAGGUCUGGGCUCAAUCCCCAGGACCUCCA